Molecule: unclassified non-coding RNA, 183 nt
Filed under: uncultured Cortinarius
Lineage: Eukaryota; Fungi; Basidiomycota; Agaricomycetes; Agaricales; Cortinariaceae
Description: sequence contains ITS2
Source: RNAcentral
AUAUUAUCAACCUUUUUGGUUGGAUGUGGGUUUGCUGGCCUCUUGAGGUCAGCUCUCCUUAAAUGCAUUAGCGGACAACAUUUUUGCCAACCGUUUAUUGGUGUGAUAAUUAUCUACGCUAUUGACGUGAAGCAAGGUUCUGCUUCUAACAGUCCAUUGACUUGGACAAGCCAUCUUUUAUUA